This 72-nucleotide transfer RNA is filed under the name Bathytroctes breviceps. RNAcentral describes it as "tRNA-Thr". It matches the Rfam family "tRNA". From Rfam's summary of the family: Transfer RNA (tRNA) molecules are approximately 80 nucleotides in length. Their secondary structure includes four short double-helical elements and three loops (D, anti-codon, and T loops). Further hydrogen bonds mediate the characteristic L-shaped molecular structure. tRNAs have two regions of fundamental functional importance: the anti-codon, which is responsible for specific mRNA codon recognition, and the 3' end, to which the tRNAs corresponding amino acid is attached (by aminoacyl-tRNA synthetases). tRNAs cope with the degeneracy of the genetic code in two manners: having more than one tRNA (with a specific anti-codon) for a particular amino acid; and 'wobble' base-pairing, i.e. permitting non-standard base-pairing at the 3rd anti-codon position. The record is from RNAcentral. Lineage: Eukaryota; Metazoa; Chordata; Actinopteri; Alepocephaliformes; Alepocephalidae.
GCCCUAGUAGCUUAGCCUCAAAGCGCCGGUCUUGUAAUCCGGAAAUCGGAAGUUAAAGUCCUCCCUAGUGCC